RNAcentral lists this unclassified non-coding RNA (263 nucleotides) under plant metagenome. RNAcentral describes it as "partial contains small subunit ribosomal RNA, internal transcribed spacer 1, and 5.8S ribosomal RNA". The record is from RNAcentral.
UUUCCGUAGGUGAACCUGCGGAAGGAUCAUUAUUGUAUACCCGAGGUGCGAGGGCUGUCGCUGACCCGAAAGGUCGUGCACGCCCGAGUGCCCUCACACACAUCCAUCUCACCCCUAUAUGCACCGCCGCGUGGGUCCCCCUUUGGCUUGUUCGGAGGGGGGCUUACGUUUUCACACAAACUUUGUAUGCAGUGUAGAAUGUAUUUUUUGUUUUUGCGAUCACGCAAUCAAUACAACUUUCAACAACGGAUCUCUUGGCUCUC